GUGCACACUUUAGCAGCACAUGUACUAAAACAGUAAUAAUACAAGGGAGAUUAGCAUGGCUCUUGAAUAAUGGUGACAUGCAAAAUACAAUGUUCUGUAUUUUU
Small nuclear RNA from Sciurus carolinensis (gray squirrel), 104 nucleotides. The record is from RefSeq and is a predicted model, not a curated record. NCBI's taxonomy places the organism in Eukaryota, Metazoa, Chordata, Mammalia, Rodentia, Sciuridae.